UGGGGAAUUUUGGACAAUGGGGGGAACCCUGAUCCAGCAAUGCCGCGUGUGUGAAGAAGGCCUGAGGGUUGUAAAGCACUUUCAGAGGGGAGGAGGACUAUUAGGUUAAGAGCUAGAUAGUUGGACGUUACCCUCAGAAGCAGCACCGGCUAACUCCGUGCCAGCAGCCGCGGUAAUACGUAGGGACCAAGCGUUGUUCGGAUUUACUGGGCGUAAAGGGCGCGUAGGCGGCAUGACAAGUCACUUGUGAAAUCUCUGGGCUUAACCCAGAACGGCCAAGUGAUACUGUCGCGCUAGAGUGCAGAAGGGGCAAUCGGAAUUCUUGGUGUAGCGGUGAAAUGCGUAGAUAUCAAGAGGAACACCUGAGGUGAAGACGGGUUGCUGGGCUGACACUGACGCUGAGGCGCGAAAGCCAGGGGAGCAAACGGGAUUAGAUACCCGCGUAGUCCCUGAGCGGGCUGGCAAGGCGCAU
RNAcentral lists this ribosomal RNA (472 nucleotides) under uncultured bacterium. RNAcentral's name for it is "bacterial SSU rRNA". It matches the Rfam family "Bacterial small subunit ribosomal RNA", at positions 355 to 825 of the family's 1533-position model. The record is from RNAcentral.